AGGGGCUCAGAAACAUGGAGUGGAUCCGAGGAGGGAGAGGGGAAUCUUUUCACUCCUGGUGUUGGAUGUCAUGCUCUGCUCUGCGUCGUGAUAGGAAGAGAGUGAGAUUACUCCAUACCCUGUAAGGCACACAAACAACAAGGUACUGUGGAGCCCCCCCCCCUCUCUUUCUCUCUCAGUGUAUGCUCACUCACAGGUAAGAGACCAAAUCACAGUCACUGUAAAACAGUGAAUAAGAAUAAGGACACUAUUUACUUCAUUAAGAUCUCGAACCUUACCCUCAGUUUAGCCAUAUUCUUAUUUUACAUCUGGAGACAUUAGUCUCUGUGUUUUAAUUAUAUUAGUCUCUGUGCUUUAAUUAUACUUUCCUCCAUUUUGGUCCACAUUGCGCAUUGUCUCGCCAUGAGUCAGUAGAAAUGUCAGGCGUGUUGGCUGCUGCUCUGCCAGACAGACAGCCUAGAGCUGGGUAAUUAGCCAGAGUCGUUUGGGGCAUGUGGCUCUGCAGAUCUAGAUGCCCACUGUGCACAGGGAGACACCAGACAACCUUUUAGUCUGCCCCGUCCCACUGCAGUCACUUAAAACACUGAUGUAUGUCCCCCCUCUCUGCCUCUAUCUCCCUCUCUCUCUUUUUUCUUGUUUCUAUUUUUUUGAAUGUACCUCUCUUUCCCUCUCACUCUUUAUUUCACUCUCUCUUGUGUUCUCUGUCUCCCUCUCUCUCUCUCUCUCUCUCUCUCUUUCUCCCUCUCUGUCUCUGUUUCCCCAGGACGAAAAGAAGUAGGUAGCCAAGGUGUAAGGGACGGGGUGGCUGAAGGGCUGCGUUCCUCAGACGGAGCAGAGCAGAACGCUCUCUCCUCCUCUCCCCUUGUCAUUGGUAUGCAGUGGCUGUUCCCCAGGCGACAGGGCCACUGGGUUCGGGCUGAGCUUACUGCAAGAGGAAAUUCAGUGACACAGAGGAGAGGAGGACAGCAGGUAAGGGUAAUGAGAACAGGCAGAGAAAGGAGAGGGGGAAAGAGAGAAGGAGGGAAGAAGAGGACAAGCGAAAGGAGGACAAGAUGUCCCAAGGGGCUUUGGGGGUGAGGCACCCCCUGACCCUUCGCACUCCGUACACUGUCCAGACACUAACACACACGCACACGCACACACACACACACACACACACACACACGCACACACACACACACACACACACACACACACACACACACACAAACCUAAACUCUUUUAAAAAAGGAGAACCCUUUUUGGUUCCAGGUAGAACCCUUUUUAGUUCAAUGUAGAACCCUCUGUGGAAAGGGUUCUACAUGAAACCCAAACGGGUUCUACCUGGAACCAAAAAUAGUUCAUCAAAGGUUUCUCCAAUAGGGGACAGCCAAUGAACCCAUUUAGGUUCUAGAUAGCACCUUUUUGUUUCUAAGUAUACAGUGCAUUCGGAAAGUAUACAGACCUCUUCACUUUUUCCACAUUUUGUUAUGUUACAGCCUUAUUCUAUAAUGGAUUACAUUUUUUUUUUAAAUUCUCCUUAUCAAUCUAUACACAAUACCCCAUAAUGACAAAGCAAAAACAGGUUUUUAGACAUUUUUGCAGACAAUGAGUAAAAAAUAUCGCUUUUACAGAAAUAUUCAGACCCUUUACUCAGUACUUUGUUGAAGCACCUUUGGCAGCAAUUACAGCAUUGAGUCUUCCUGGGUAUGACGCUACAAGCUUGGCACACAUGUAUUUGGGGUGUUUCACCCAUUCUUCUCUGCAGAUCCUCUCAAGCUCUGUCAGGUUGGAUGGGGAGCAUCGUUGCACAGCUAUUAUCAGGUCUCUCCAGAAAUGUUUGAUCACUUUCAAGUCUGGACUCUUGUUGGGCCACUCAAGGACAUUCAGAGACUUGUUCCGAAGCCACUCCUGCAUUGUCUUGGCUGUGUGCUUAGGGUCUUUGUCCUGUUGGAAGGUGAACCUUCACCCCAGUCUGAGGUCCUGAGAGCUCUGAAGCAGGUUUUCAUCAAGGAUCUCUCUGUACUUUGCUCUGUUCAUCUUUCCCCCGAUCCUGAUUAGUCUCCCAGUCCCUGCCACUGAAAAAACAUUGCCACAGAAUGAUGCUGCCACCACCAUGCUUCACCGUAGGAUUGGUGCCAGGUUUCCUCCAGAAGUGACUCUUUGCAUUCAGGCCAAAGAGUUCAAUCUUGGUUUCAUCAGACCAAAGAAUGUUGUUUCUCAUGGUCUGAUAGUCUUUAGGUGCCUUUUGGCAAACUCCAAGUGGACUGUUAUGUGCCUUUUACUGAGGAGUGGCAUCCAUCUAGCUACUCUAACGGCCUGAUUGGUGGAGUGCUGCAGAGAUGGUUUUCCUUCUGGAAGGUUCUCCCAUCUCCACAGAGGAACUCUCACAGAGGAACUCUCACGGAAAUACUUUCCGAAUGUGCUGUAUAUGUAUUAAAGGUCCAAUGCAGUUGUUUUAUUCUCAAUAUCAAAAAUUAUUUGUAGGUAACAGUUAAGUACCUUUACUGUGAUUAUUUUUUUAAGUAAAAUGGUCAAGAAAAAAACAUUUGCUUCUUCGCAAAGAGCACUGGGCCUUUAAUGGCAAAACACCCGACUAGACACUUUAUGUCAAGCGCACAUCAUGUAUCCAAAAAGCAAGAACAAAUGUAUUCUCUCUCACAAACACACAAGGGGAGUUUGGGCAAUGUUUGGUACUUUUGGCUUUUUUCUUUGUAAGAGCCUUUAUGACUAUAUAGUGAUAAUGUAAUGCUUCUUGAGAUACAUAUGUUAUAUCUUGUUAUAUCCAAUAUAUUGUAUUUUAUUAUGUUGUCACGUAAACAUGUUUUUUUUUCUUCAAAUACAUGUUUUACGUUUUUGAGAAUAGUGUUAUAAAGAAAGCAAAUGAUUGAAUGCAAACAGUGUAAAAUGUCGUUACAAAUUAUGUGAAAAUAAAUAG
This is a long non-coding RNA of Oncorhynchus tshawytscha (Chinook salmon), 2917 nucleotides long. The record is from Ensembl. NCBI's taxonomy places the organism in Eukaryota, Metazoa, Chordata, Actinopteri, Salmoniformes, Salmonidae.